This 107-nucleotide microRNA precursor is filed under the name Vriesea carinata. RNAcentral's name for it is "miR167b stem-loop (vca-MIR167b)". Its record names the gene vca-MIR167b. It matches the Rfam family "MIR167 microRNA precursor family". The record is from miRBase by way of RNAcentral. Lineage: Eukaryota; Viridiplantae; Streptophyta; Magnoliopsida; Poales; Bromeliaceae.
AGCGGCUGAAGCUGCCAGCAUGAUCUGAUCUCUCUCUCUCUCUCUCUCUCUCUCUCUCUCCUCCCCUUUUAGGGUUAAUAUCAGAUCAUGUUGCAGUUUCAUCUGCU